This 82-nucleotide transfer RNA is filed under the name Jeotgalicoccus saudimassiliensis. It matches the Rfam family "tRNA". From Rfam's summary of the family: Transfer RNA (tRNA) molecules are approximately 80 nucleotides in length. Their secondary structure includes four short double-helical elements and three loops (D, anti-codon, and T loops). The record is from Rfam by way of RNAcentral. Lineage: Bacteria; Bacillati; Bacillota; Bacilli; Caryophanales; Staphylococcaceae.
GCGGGUAUGGCGGAACUGGCAGACGCACUAGACUUAGGAUCUAGCGCUUCACGGCGUGGGGGUUCGACUCCCUUUACCCGCA